This 635-nucleotide unclassified non-coding RNA is filed under the name uncultured fungus. RNAcentral describes it as "sequence contains ITS1, 5.8S rRNA gene, ITS2". The stretch from base 297 to 450 matches the Rfam family "5.8S ribosomal RNA". The record is from RNAcentral. Lineage: Eukaryota; Fungi.
UAGAGGAAGUAAAAGUCGUAACAAGGUUUCCGUAGGUGAACCUGCGGAAGGAUCAUUAUUGAAAUAAACCUGAUGGGUUGCUGCUGGCUCUCUAGGGAGCAUGUGCACACUUGUCAUCUUUAUAUCUCCACCUGUGCACCUUUUGUAGAUCUGGAUAUCUUUCUGAAUGCCUGGCGUUCAGGUUUGAGGAUUGACUUUUGUCUUUCCUUACAUUUCCAGGCCUAUGUUUUCUUCACAUACACCAUUUAUGUUAUAGAAUGUAAUGAAAUGGGCCUCUGUGCCUACAAACUUUAUACAACUUUCAGCAACGGAUCUCUUGGCUCUCGCAUCGAUGAAGAACGCAGCGAAAUGCGAUAAGUAAUGUGAAUUGCAGAAUUCAGUGAAUCAUCGAAUCUUUGAACGCACCUUGCGCUCCUUGGUAUUCCGAGGAGCAUGCCUGUUUGAGUGUCAUUAAUAUAUCAACCUCCUCAGGMUUUUGCUUGUCGAGUGUUUGGAUGUGGGGGUCUUUUGCUGGUCUCUUUUGAGGUCGGCUCCCCUAAAAUGCAUUAGCGGAACAAUUUGUUGACCCGUUCAUUGGUGUGAUAACUAUCUACGCUUUUGACGUGAAACAGGUUCAGCUUCUAACAGUCCAUUUA